ACUAUACGUGCCGUGUCGUGUUUCAGUAAGAAGUAAACAAAGCCAUUUAUGUAUGGCGCCCCCUCUCUCAAGAUGAUCUGUGCAUAGUGCAUGCUCACUGUUCUGAGCCUUGAUGAAUUGUCAUGUCAAAUACAAAUAGUACAAAUAUUUCCAUCCAUAGAGAUUUAAUCCAGCAUAUCACAUUAGUCAUGGAGAUUCAUAGAUUAAUCUUCAAAUAUCAAAAAGGAGGACAUGAAGGAGGACACUUUUCAAGGAAGGACAGACCUUACAAAAGGAGGACUGUCCUCCCUAAAGAAGGACGAUUGGUCACCCUAGUUAAGAUAAUGUUUUUACAGCCAUAAGACUGAAAUGUUAUUGUUACUAGUAAAGUAUGCAGAAUUGCUACAGACUUAUGUAUUAAUCUAUAAUAUAUGUAUAUAUAUAUAUACAAAUAAAAUAUAUAG
This 443-nucleotide long non-coding RNA is filed under the name Androctonus crassicauda. Lineage: Eukaryota; Metazoa; Arthropoda; Arachnida; Scorpiones; Buthidae. The record is from RNAcentral.